GCCUGGAUAGCUCAGUUGGGAGAGCAUCAGACUUUUAAUCUGAGGGUCCAGGGUUCAAGCCCCUGUUCUAGGUG
This is a non-coding RNA of Cyanistes caeruleus (blue tit), 74 nucleotides long. The record is from the annotation of a RefSeq genome assembly. Lineage: Eukaryota; Metazoa; Chordata; Aves; Passeriformes; Paridae.